UAGCUAGCUACACUUGAUAAUUUCACAGUUGAGAGUAGAGUAUACAUUAAAGAUGAUGCAGAAGCAGACGUUGGCGAUAGCUCUGGUGUGGCUCCUGGUUGCGUCGUCAAUCAUGAUGUGCGUGUUCGCAGCUGCAGACACUACUCCAUUGAAAACUGCUGACCAAGUUCUCCAUCCCCUAGCAGGUAAGAACCAACAUCCGAUCCUUUUGCUUUCGCAUCUGUUCUACAAAUUAAUAUUAAUCUGCAUGCAUACUAACUAUAUAUGCUUGCUAAUGGAUACAUAUAUAUACACUACUUGAAGGUUGUCGCUGCUGCAACUACAUUAAAGUGAGAGAGUUUUUCAAUUGCAACAAAGUUUGUUGUGUGGAUGGAUGUUGCGGUCGCAAGUGAAGCACCUGCAAUGAAGCUACACAGACAAUUAUAUAUAAUAUGAAUCAUGGUUGUGUAGUUGCACAAUAAGAUGAAUAAUGGUGGUCAAAAGUUGCAACAUCUCUGAAGCAAUUAAUCAACCNNNNNNN
RNAcentral lists this long non-coding RNA (520 nucleotides) under Panax ginseng (ginseng). RNAcentral's name for it is "long non-coding RNA (PGIN_LNC003715)". Lineage: Eukaryota; Viridiplantae; Streptophyta; Magnoliopsida; Apiales; Araliaceae. The record is from RNAcentral.